RNAcentral lists this long non-coding RNA (2046 nucleotides) under Cricetulus griseus (Chinese hamster). RNAcentral's name for it is "lncRNA (ENSCGRG00015041274.1)". Lineage: Eukaryota; Metazoa; Chordata; Mammalia; Rodentia; Cricetidae. The record is from RNAcentral.
CUGACUUUCUAGUGUCUAGGUCAAGGUCAUAGAAGCACGUGUUCGACCAUUAUGGCUGCCAAAAGGGAAGCCGGUUCCUUCAACACAAAAUGAAGGCUCCUGGCAGUGAGGGACACCACAGGGUGGCAGAACAAACUUGCCAGAUUGAAAGCGGAACCUUGUGUUUGCUGCUAUGUCAUUCACCAGGGGGGCUGUGAACUUGUGUGUUCUGUCUCACCAGCAAUGGGGGAGAAACAAAGCUCCCCUGUGUUGUUUAAUAUGCACCCUGACUGCCUCUCUCCUGGGUGUGGCACCUGCCACUUGUCACCAGAAAGGGCCACCAGGAGAGGAAGAAUUAGGACUUCAGAGCUGAUGCAUGCCAUUCAUGCUGACCUGCUUUGAACCGACCCUCCCCCCCCCCACCCCGAGACUUCUGGGCAGGAGGUGGGGAGCUUGACACAAAAUGAAGGCUCCUGGAAAGCUUUUUAGGAAGUCUAUAAUUCAGUGGCUUUUAGUAUAUUUACAGAGUUGAGGAACUGUCAGCAAAACCAGUCCAAGAAUGUUUUUGUCAUCCCCAGAGAAAUCCUCACCUUCUAGCAAUGCCCUACACCUUCUCGAUGUGGUCUCCUCCACCCCCAACCCCCAGCAGUGCUCAUCUAUUUUUGUCUGUAUAUUUGCCUGCUUUAUGUUUUGCACAGAUGGGAUCACAUCCCGGGCUCUCUUCUCUGUCUUUCAUUUAGCAUUGUGUUUUUGUUAUUUUUCCCUCAUUCCUCACAUGGUGCUGGAAAUGGAACCCAUGUGCUAGCCCAGUGCUCUACACCCUAGCUACACACCCAGGCUAAGCAAGGACCAGAGAGUGCAAAAAGUAGGUGGCUUAGGGGUUGUGUUAUAAGAGCAGACUCCGCCUACUGUGAAUUGAAGGUCACUUCUCCCCUUCAGUGUCCCCUCUGAGCGAAGUCUCCUAAGAUGGUCUUGCAGAGUCUGGACAGUGAGUGAAACAGCCUGCUCUUCCAGGACUUGGCCAGCAUCCCAGCUUUCUUGGAUCCCCAAAGACAUCGACAACCGACAACCCCAGACAACAGAAAGCGGUUUGAAGAGCAUGGUGUUCCCACUCUCCCCUACCAGUCACCCCUACCUAUUUCCUUACCUUCAUAAUAAACAAAAAGGAGGAAUGUCAGAAACCAGGUGAUCCCCGAGCUCAACAGCUCAGUUUAGAGACAGUGACUCUUGAGCCCAGGAUUGUGAGGGUAAUGGUGACUAUAUUUGUAAGAAAUAAAAUCAGGUGUUCAGUUCCUAACCUAUCAAAGCAAAACUUGUUCAUGACUUGGUGUUCUCCAUGUAGCCUCCCAAGGUGUGUGUGUGGGGGUGGGGAGCAUCCAUAUGAUAGUCAUGGUACUACAGGGCUAGAGAUGUUUCAGUGACUAAGUUUUCUAUGGCAGUGGAAAUCCUCAAAGCUCUAGCCUUUAGUGACCCACAGCCUUCCUAGCCAGGCGCUCAUGAGUCUCUUGAGGCUGUAGGGGAAGUUUAACUGCAGAAAAAGCAGAGGCCUCAGGGUUCAAUCCUACAGGCUUUGAAAAAUAAUUCCAGGAAGACUAUUUGCUAUGACAAGUCCUUUCUAGACCUUCGCCUGAAAAUCUGUAGCACAAAGGUGUGAAAUUUUGUCUCUAUUUAGGGUGCCUCUGUUCCCAAAUGCUCAGCUGUUCUCCCUGAGCUGGGAGAGGGGCCGUCUUCACACAGCCCUAACUAAUGUGUUCCUUCCUUCUCAUCACCUCCCUGUCACCUGUGUGUGUGUGUGUGUGUGUGUGUGUGUGUGUGUGUGUGUGUGUGUGUGUGUGUGUAUGUGUAUGUGUAUGUGUGUGUGAGAUGCAGUAACUUCAGACUGGGAGAUGGCUCCCUUAAUAAGGGGCUUAUCUUGCAAGCAUGAAGACCUGAGCUCUUCCAUCACCCCUAGAACCCAUGUAAAAAUCCAGGCAGUAAUCCUAGCACUAGGAAAGCAGAGGCAGAAAGAUCCCUGGGAUCCACUAGCCAGCCAGUCUAGUCUACUUGCUCCAGGACCAAUGAGAGGUG